UACAGAGGUCCCAAGCGUUGUUCGGAUUCACUGGGCGUAAAGGGGGCGUAGGCGGUCGGGUAAGUCUGAUGUGAAAUCUCCAAGCCUAACUUGGAAACUGCAUUGGAUACUAUCCGGCUCGAGGAAUGGAGGGGAGACUGGAAUACUUGGUGUAGCAGUGAAAUGCGUAGAUAUCAAGUGGAACACCAGUGGCGAAGGCGAGUCUCUGGACAUUUCCUGACGCUGAGGCACGAAAGCCAGGGGAGCAAACGGG
RNAcentral lists this ribosomal RNA (253 nucleotides) under uncultured bacterium. RNAcentral describes it as "partial 16S ribosomal RNA". It matches the Rfam family "Bacterial small subunit ribosomal RNA", at positions 524 to 776 of the family's 1533-position model. The record is from RNAcentral.